GGGAUGUUCCCUGUUCCAAUAUAUAACCAAUGAUAGAGUACAAUUCUGUUUAAUUUCUAAAGCGUGAAUUGAAAAAUAUUAUCGUCACAAUAUAUCCUAGAGUCAGGGGCUUCCAUAUAGAGCUAGAGCUACGUGGGUAUGGUAGCGCUCAUAUGUGCUCUAAGGAUGCGAUUCCUUGAUUGGGGUGAAGCCAGAGUAAUUGUCAAUGAAUGUAUGUUGUGUGUUCCGGUGUGAAGGAUAAUAUCCUAACUAGUGGUCAUGUGUAGGAGUGUGUGGUGUCUGUCUGAUACGAGAUCCAUAAUGCAGGGAUAUGGGGAGCAGUGAGAAGAGGUCCGUACGUACCCAGGGCUUAGUGUAGUCAGUCUACCCCCUUGUAAUCCAUCUGCAACCGAUAGUGACCCUGUCCAUAUGGCAAUCAAGUUGUUUCUAUAGAGAUAGGCUUGUUUGGUCGGAUGUGCGAGAUUUGCAUCCUUUUCCCGUGUGUUAGAGCUCAUCCGGGUUGGGCGCGGUAGUUAUUAACCUAGUUGAGGUUCUUGCUAGUUAUCAUGUUGUCGUGUUGCGGCAUAUCAUGAUGAGGUCAGCCGUAAGGGCCCUUGCUUGGGUCUGUGUAGGUGCGGAGUAUGUGUUUUCUAGGGUUCAUCAGGAGAGGUAUAGUGUCGUGGUGUAUGUGUGUGUUGCUAUAUCUCGGGGCUGCUGCACACGUCCAUUAAUCUGAUUGUCAGCAUUGUCUUAUAGAGGUGAUAUGCGUGCCAUGUCCAGAUGUGCAUAAGAUGCCCCCCCUUGUGGUUCUGUGGGGAUAUGGGUCACGCCCUAAGAGGUCCCCUUUUGACCUAUGGAGUUACUGCGGGUCAGGGUAAUUCGUCGUAUCGGAUGAGAUCUCAUGUUCGUAUUGAAGUGGUGGGGAUGUGUUUAUCCCCCAAACGUUGUGGAUAGAGUGUGAGGUGUAUCGGUUGAAUCUGCGAUCGUCAGGUGAUCAAUACAGAGUGUGGUUCAUGUCGUAUGGGUCUAGUGAGCUCCAUAUCAUCUCCCUGCCCCAGUCCCCCCCCCGGAACCCCCUAAGGUUGCGAGCGGUAUGUAUACCAUGGUGCCCAGGCGUAUAAUGUUGAUAUUUAACUUUAAUCAUCACCAUAACCACUGAAGUCCCGAACCUCCCUUAACAUGUUUGAAAGCUGUGUCUCAUUUUUCCAUGAUGCCCUGAAAGACAGUAUACCAAGCAGCUGUGCAUCCGACGCAGAUUCCAAUAUAAAAAUAGAAAUACAAAUGUAUUUUAAAACGUAUAAACAUAACUAAUAGCUGAAUGUUAGUUAUGUGACAAUGUUGAAUGACAAUUAAUCUGUAACAAACAUAUGUGUUGAUACAUGGUAGAAGCCUAAUAGAUUUUGUUCUAGCUCUUCAAAGUUUAACACUAUGACUCUAACAUAAUAGUAAUGACUACGAAUAUGGAGAUUAGGAGUGUUUGUUCACAAUCCACUAGAGGUGCUUAUGUAUUCAGCAGUGCUCCAUCCCUCAGUUCUCACAGCCUAACAUUGCCAUCCA
Molecule: non-coding RNA, 1536 nt
Organism: Pelobates cultripes (western spadefoot toad)
Lineage: Eukaryota; Metazoa; Chordata; Amphibia; Anura; Pelobatidae
Source: the annotation of a GenBank genome assembly